This 29-nucleotide non-coding RNA is filed under the name Homo sapiens (human). Lineage: Eukaryota; Metazoa; Chordata; Mammalia; Primates; Hominidae. The record is from RNAcentral.
UGGCAUUUUGGUUGGUGCACGAGCUCGUC